CUGAACCGCAGCAGGUACGGCUCCCGGCACGUCGUCCCCUCCGGGCACACCGCCAGGCCCCCCUCCACCGCCAGCAGCCGCCGCAUCGUCGCCGCGUCUCGUCCCCUGUCCCGGGUCAGCCGCACAGUCCGCAUCGGCGCCAACGCCUCCGACACCCGGCUAUGUAUGGCCACACCGGCCUUGACCAUGUCCCUAAUCGGCAUUGAGAAGCUACAAUGCCUUUAAUCGGCACAGUGCCUAGAAGCAAAAAUUGGCACGGGCUUUGUCUCUCCUCUUCAUUUUUCUUUCUUUUUUUUCCUCUCUCGCAUGACCGACGCCCCCAAAUCCGCCUUCUCGUGAUCUGCUCCAAGCGGCGACAACAGCAACUCCGACGGCGUUUGAGAAGGGCAACUCAGAGGAGGACGAAGCUGGCCUUCAGCAUUUACUCCGGUGAGGAUACCUCUUCUCCAUUUUCCCCGAAUUAUCCAUCAACAGGCGGCGGAUUUAAUUAGGGUUUUCACCGGCGUGGUUGCGCCGGAGGAUUCCCUCAUCUCUGAUUUGACCAAGUCUGAAAUCCCUUGCCGACGUGGUAGCGAGAGCAGGGAAACUCAAAGGAGGACGGAGCUGGCCUUGAACAUCUUCUCUGGUGAAGCCUUACUGAAAUCCAACACUGAGGCUGUUGUGGACUUCCACGAACGUGGUUGCGAAUGCUGGCAUGAUCCCAGCAACUUCAAUCUUCAAUUCUGGCAGCAAGCUUCAUUUCAUCUCUCUGCUAUUCAACUUCGCGUAGUUUGUGUUGGUGGAAUCAGUAGAUCAGAGGGUGAGGACAGUAAUUUUUGUGUAAUCUGUUGCUCUUCACUGAAGUGUUUAACUGCGGGAAGAACCAGCCAUUAUGUAUCAUUGUCCGGGAUCAGUUUAGUCAUCUGUAUUGCUGUCCACCGGCGUUGCUGGUUCCAUCUCCGGGCCCCCUUGUGACAAAGGAGGCUUGCACCAGUUGCAACUUUGGGAAUCUGAAGGCCAAUUCGAGCUUAAGGGAUGCGGCCAGAACAUUCAACUUUGGGCAAGUUUUAUCCAGGGAGGAAGCAUCUGCAAGCUUGCGACGUCAAGUAAAAGAGAAAGAAAACCAGAGGAAAAGGAGCUGUCCACUGCCUCAUUUUGUGGAUUGGGUGCACUGAUUUAGCUUAAAGUAUACAACGGUGGUGAUUCCCAGUGGGACCUCCAAAACAUUCUCUCAAUCAUCUCCCCCAUACUUGUUGAUUGCUUAUGUGAGUUUAGUCCACAUUCUCUCAAUUAUCUCCCCCAUACUUGUUGAUUGCUUAUGUGAGUUUAGUCCUCUCAUCAAACAAUUUCACAUCAGUGCCAAUGAGGUCACUGGACAGCAGACAGAUCAAAAAAACAAAAAACAAAAAAAAAGCAAGAUCAUACCUUUUCCAUGUUGAUCCUAGGAAAUGGUUUCACAGAGAUGAUGAUAACAUUCUUAAAGAUGUAAUGUAUGCCCCUCUCCUUAGUGGCUCCAUCCAAGCCAGCAUAAUCUGUCUCUGCCAUGGGUGGGUGGGAGUAGAGAUGCCCCAGAAAGAGGCAGCUUGUGCCACUAUUAUCUCAUGAACAUGAGAACCAGGGCAUCUUCAGACUGCUGGUGGAACUCACCACUCAACAUAAAUGAGUACUUUGAGAAAAAUGCACCAGAAAGUAAGUGGUCCCUAAAGUCAUCCUAUUCCUUGCGAAAACAAUAGGUUCAGCUGGACGAUAAGCAUACACAUCCAAUUCCAUACUUCGUGAUCCCAUGAGCAUCAUGCUUUCUCCUUUUUCUGCCCCUUUAUCUUAUUGGAUUUCUUGAGUUUGGAUGAGCUGAUGGUAGGCAACAUCGCGAGAAGAUGUCACUGUUUUCGUGGUGUUGGAGCUAGAGGAUAUUUUUUGGGAAGGAAGAUGCACAGAGACAUGGUUGCAUUAGUUUACUGCCACAGGCUUGCACCAGUUGCACAUUCUGAUCUUCUUUUUGGCUGAGUUUCAUGUGGUAAAUAGUGCUCUUAUAAUGGUCCUUGGAAGAGCAAAGGUGAAUCUGCAGUGACAGAGUAGUGGAUUACAUUAUGUAUCAUUCUGAAUAAUUCCAUAGCAUUGCCUGAGGAUGAUUUAGUUUAGCUGUUGCAGUAUCCACUUUGCAUUGAUAAUCUUCUCUUGGGCAGAUACACAGAUGGAAGGACUGGGAAAAGGAUACGACAUCGGCUGAGUAUGCCUUCACGACUGGUAUAUAUAUGUUCACUAUUCUUUGUUUUUUUGUCCCAGAUUUGCAUCCUUGGAUCCUAGUUUGAGUGGUAAAAGUGCAGAACCAGUAUAUCGUGAUGCAAAAGGGAAAGCUAUUUCAAAGGAAGAGCUACUGAAACCAAAGGAGGAAGAGAAACCAAAGG
Molecule: RNA transcript, 2384 nt
Organism: Zingiber officinale
Lineage: Eukaryota; Viridiplantae; Streptophyta; Magnoliopsida; Zingiberales; Zingiberaceae
Exons: 4
Source: RefSeq, a predicted model, not a curated record